GAUGACGUCAAGUCCUCAUGGCCCUUAUGGGCUGGGCUACACACGUGCUACAAUGGCGGUGACAAAGGGAAGCAAUAGGGCAACCUGGAGCAAAUCCUUAAAAACCGUCUCAGUUCGGAUUGUUCUCUGCAACUCGAGAGCAUGAAGUUGGAAUCGCUAGUAAUCGUAGAUCAGCAUGCUACGGUGAAUACGUUCCCGGGCCUUGUACACACCGCCCGUCACACCAUGGGAGUUGGUUUUACCCGAAGACGGUAUCCUAACCUUUUAGGAGGGGAGGCCGGCCACGGUAGGGUCAGCGANCUGGGGUGAAGUCGUAACCAAGGUAA
This 326-nucleotide ribosomal RNA is filed under the name uncultured Alphaproteobacteria bacterium. RNAcentral's name for it is "bacterial SSU rRNA". It matches the Rfam family "Bacterial small subunit ribosomal RNA", at positions 1178 to 1499 of the family's 1533-position model. Lineage: Bacteria; Pseudomonadati; Pseudomonadota; Alphaproteobacteria. The record is from RNAcentral.